This 493-nucleotide ribosomal RNA is filed under the name uncultured bacterium. RNAcentral describes it as "partial 16S ribosomal RNA". It matches the Rfam family "Bacterial small subunit ribosomal RNA", at positions 29 to 507 of the family's 1533-position model. The record is from RNAcentral.
ACGAACGCUGGCGGCGUGCUUAACCCAUGCAAGUCGAACGGUGAAGCGCCUUCCUUUUUGGUGGGUGUAGAUGAGUGGCGAACGGGUGAGUAACACGUGAGUAACCUGCCCCCUUCUUCUGGAUAACCGCAUGAAAGUGUGGCUAAUACGGGAUAUUCUGGGUCUGUCGCAUGAUGGGUCUGGGAAAGAUAUUGUUUCGGUGGGGGAUGGGCUCGCGGCCUAUCAGCUUGUUGGUGGGGUGAUGGCCUACCAAGGCGGUGACGGGUAGCCGGCCUGAGAGGGUGGACGGUCACACUGGGACUGAGACACGGCCCAGACUCCUACGGGAGGCAGCAGUGGGGAAUAUUGCACAAUGGGCGCAAGCCUGAUGCAGCGACGCCGCGUGAGGGAUGGAGGCCUUCGGGUUGUGAACCUCUUUCGCCAGUGAAGCAGGCCUGCCUCGUUUGUGGGUGGGUUGACGGUAGCUGGAUAAGAAGCGCCGGCUAACUACGUG